This 27-nucleotide non-coding RNA is filed under the name Mus musculus (house mouse). The record is from RNAcentral. Lineage: Eukaryota; Metazoa; Chordata; Mammalia; Rodentia; Muridae.
UCAAAGGUCUUCAAGUGUCCCACCUUC